RNAcentral lists this ribosomal RNA (478 nucleotides) under uncultured bacterium. RNAcentral describes it as "partial 16S ribosomal RNA". It matches the Rfam family "Bacterial small subunit ribosomal RNA", at positions 28 to 507 of the family's 1533-position model. The record is from RNAcentral.
GAUGAACGCUGGCGGCGUGCUUAACACAUGCAAGUCGAACGAGAAAUGGAGACGGAAACCUUCGGGCGGAAGGCUUCAUUUCGAGUGGCGGACGGGUGAGUAACGCGUGGGUAACCUGCCUCAUACAGGGGGAUAACAGUUGGAAACGACUGUUAAUACCGCAUAAGACCACAGCACCGCAUGGUGCGGGGGUAAAAACUCCGGUGGUAUGAGAUGGACCCGCGUUCGAUUAGCCAGUUGGCGGGGUAACGGCCCACCAAAGCGACGAUCGAUAGCCGAUCUGAGAGGAUGACCCGCCACAUUGGGACUGAGACACGGCCCAAACUCCUACGGGAGGCAGCAGUGGGGAAUAUUGCACAAUGGGGGAAACCCUGAUGCAGCGACGCCGCGUGAGUGAAGAAGUACUGCGGUAUGUAAAGCUCUAUCAGCAGGGAAGAAAAUGACGGUACCUGAGUAAGAAGCCCCGGCUAACUACGUG